Molecule: long non-coding RNA, 4562 nt
Organism: Macaca fascicularis (crab-eating macaque)
Lineage: Eukaryota; Metazoa; Chordata; Mammalia; Primates; Cercopithecidae
Source: Ensembl
UUUUUUAUUUUUUUUUUUAAUUGAGUUUCAUUUAUUUCUGCUCUGAUCUUUAUUCUUUUUCUACUAAUUUUGGGCUUGGUUUGCUCUUGCUUUUCUAGUUCUUUAAGAUGCAUGAUUAGAUUGUUCAGUUGAAGCUUUCUUCUUCUUUUUUUUUUAAAGACACGCAUAGCUAUAAAAUUCCUUCUUAGUAUUGCUUUUGCUGUAUCCCACAGGUUUUACUAUGUUGUGUGUCCAUUAUCAUUGUUUCAAGAAGAAACUGAUAGAUUAGCUAUGUGUCCAACUUUUAUAUUAAGAGGAUGUUUAGAGAGCUAAUAAAUGUUUAGAAAUAAGUUAUCAAUAAGAACAUAGCAAGGCAAGUAAGCAAAAUAAAAUUAGGUGAUUUUCAGGAGGAGAAAGUUGUAUAAGAAAGAAGAUGCAGUUAUACUACACUAUAUUGCUUUGCUAUCGAAGCAAUAUAGUGUACUACAUUGCUAUAUUUAUGCUGGCAUAUUAAUGUAACAUUCAAUAUAUAUUUGACUCAAAUGUGACAUGCUUUGAGAAAAAUGCAGUAAGAGAAAUUAGAAGAGUGUAUGGGACUGGGUAAGGGGUUAGUAUAAAUAUCCAUUAUCCAUGGUAGAAUGUCAUGUCAAUAGAUAAUGUCUGAAAUAGGAAAGGCAAGAAAUAGCAGUACAAAUAUGUUAUUCAAAACAUAGAGUUUAAAACCAGAAAAAUUAGCUAAAAGAGUUGAAAGUGAAUGCCUGUGGGGAAUGUGAAUCACAGCAUGGGGAGGGGUAGAAAAGAGGCCUGUGAACUUCCUCACAAGCUUUGUAGUACUAUUUUACUUUAACUAUAUGAUGUGUUAUUUUGGUUAAAAUUAAUUUGAAAAUAACAAUGCACUCAAAAAAUAGGAGCAAUACAAAAUGGUACUUACCCCAAAUUAACUUUCUCCCUCUUCUCCGAAGUCUAAGGUGACACAUUCUCUUUAGUUGUAAACAUUCUAGUGUAUAUUCUUCCCAAGAUUUUUCUCUGCACACAAAAAUAUACAUCUAAGAAAAACAGCAGCUGGCCGGGCGCGGUGCCUCAAGCCUGUAAUCCCAGCACUUUGGGAGGCCGAGAUGUGCAGAUCACGAGGUCAGGAGAUCUAGACCAUCCUGGCUAACACAGUGAAACCCCGUCUCUACUAAAAAAAUACAAAAAACUAGCCGGGCCAGGUGGCGGUCGCCUGUAGUCCCAGCUACUCAGGAGGCUGAGGCAGGAUAAUGGCGUGAACCCGGGAGGCGGAGCUUGCAGUGAGCUGAGAUCCGGCCACCGCACUCCAGCCUGGGCGACAGAGCGAGACUCCGUCUCAAAAAAAAAAAAAAAAAAAAAAAAGAAAAGAAAAGAAAAGAAAAGAAAUGAAAAGAAAAACAGCAGCUUAGGGGUAAGUAGUUAUGAUGGUUAAUUCUGUCUGUCACCUUAGCUAGGUCACGAUACCCAGAAAUUUGGUUCGAACAGUAUUCUAGAUGUUUCAGUAAGGGUAUUUUUUGGAUAGAAUUAACAUUUAAAUCAGUAGCCUUUGAGUAAAGAAGAUUGCCCUACCUAACAUAGAUAAACCUCAUCCAAUCAGUUGAAGGCCUCAAGAGAAAGCGGUUCCCCAGUGAAGAGGGAAUUCUGCCUCCAGGCUGUCUUAGAACUCAGAUAGUAACUCUUCUCUGAGUCUCCAGUCUGCCAGUAGACUCUGCAGAUUUUGGACUUGCCAGCCGUAUCAUGUAAGUCAAUAUCUUAAAAUAAAUCUCUCUUAAUGUAUACACACACACACACACACACACACACACACACACACACACACACACACACACACAUACACCCUAUUGAUUCUGUUUCUCUGGAGAACUCUAAUACAGUAGUGUUUAAGGACAUACGGAGAAGGGACUUGAAGGCUGGGAGGAAUGAGUCUGAAACAAGAAAUCUGGGAUAUUCUCUAAAGUCUUUCAAGAAUGGAACGAUCUACUAGUUAGAUAUUUUCCGUGAUUGGAGUACAGAAAAUUUGCAUAGUAAGGCUCAUAAUAUGAGGCACAUUUGUGGAAAGAUUUGAAUUUUAAUAGUAAUUUGAGAGAUGACAUACUGGUAGCUAUGUUACACUAGUGCAGCUGUAAGUCUUUCAGUCGAGCCAAAGAUUUAAAAAAAAUGAGAAGCUGAAAUAAUAGAAAUAUUUCAAGUCAGACAAACUUGCUUUCAAACCCCUGAGGACAGAGUUGGUUUCAAAGCCCUACUCUGUCUUGAGUUUGCUGUGUUGUCUUGAACCAGUUAUUUCCGUAAUCUUGUGUUACCAUAUUUAUAAAAAUUGGGGCCGGGUGCGGUGGCUCAUGCCUGUAAUCCCAACACUUUGGGAGACCGAGGCAGGCAGUUUGAGACCAACAUGACGAAACCCCAUCUCUACUAAAAAUACAAAAAUUAGUUGGGCAUGGUGGUGCGUGCCUGUAAUCCCAGCUACUAAGGAGGCUAAGGCAGGAGAGUGGCUUGAACCAGGGAGGCAGAUGUUGCAGUGAGCCAAGAUCGCACCAUUGCAUUCCAGCUUGGGUGACAGAUCGAGACUACAUCUCAAAAAAAAAAAAAAGGGAUAAUUGUACCUCUCUCAUAUGGUUAUGGAGGUAAUUAAAGAAGAGGAUGUAUAUGAAUGUAAAACCCACAUUAAGGAGGGCAAGAAGUCGUGAAAAAGUAAUGAAUAUUAGUUGCUUCCAAGGAGCAGUUUAAAGGACACCAAGUCCUAAGUGACUUCCUGACAGGGAGAGCUUAAUAUCCCUCUCAUCGUCGCAGAGGAGAGGUGGGGGAAAAAGGAGAGAGAAGAAGGAAAAGGGCAGAGAAAGAACACUGACCACCCAAAAAUAAUGCACUGUCAUUUUGAAAGAAAAUGUAGAUGGAGUGUUCAAGUUAGUGAGGCAGAGACCUCAGGAACAAAAGGGGAUUAUACUUACUUGUUACAUUUGUCACUUGUCAUUGUAUGUGCAAUGAGGUUAAAUUUUUAUUAAGAUUUUAAUAGCCAGCAGCAGAAUUUCUGUUAGGAAAAAAACUGUCUUUAUUUGAAAAUAACUUGAUUGGUUACUCCUUCCCAACUUGGAGCAGAGCCUGGAUGUCAGCAGUAAACAAGACAUCAGAGAAAGGGGAAGCUGUCAGAUGAAAGGAGGAAUUUCUUGUGUGUUUGUUUGCUUUUUCUCCCUCUGGAUAAAAGAAGCAAAAAUGAGUAAUGGUCAGAGAAAAGGAGGGAAGGAAAGAAGCCAGCAAGGUAGAAAAAAAGCCUGGAAGGAGGGACGUGACUCAUCAGCGAACCCUCAGAUAGUAGAGUAGCUAACAAAUGCAAUGCCUCAUACAUUGGAGUUUUGUUAGAUGUCACUGCCAAGAUGCUAAGAUGGGCUCUCAUUUGUGCACAGGUACUUUUAUUCUCAGGGGCAUAUAUUUUAAAGACCCCAGAACAGAAGGUGUUGUCCCAUAAAGUCUCAAGGAACCUACCAGUUUUCAAUGAAUUCGCUUUUUCAAUCUGAUUUCUUUUUUUUUUUUUCAUUAUUAUACUUUAAGUUCUGGGAUACAUGUGCAGAACAUGCAGGUUUGUUAUAUAAAUAUACACGUGCCAUGGUGGUUUGCUGCAACCAUCAACCCAUCAUCUACAUUAGGUAUUUCUCCUAAUGCUCUCCCUGCCCUGGCCCCCUACCACUCAACAGGCCCCAGUAUGUGAUGUUCCCCUCCCUGUGCCCACGUUUUCAUUGUUCAGCUCCCACUUAUGAGUGAGAACAUGCAGUGUUUGGUUUUCUGUUCCUGUGUUAGUUUGCUGAGAAUGAUGGAUUACAGCUUGAACCAUGUCCCUGCAAAGGGCAUAAACUCAUUCUUUUUAUGGCUGCAUAGUAUUCCAUAGUGUAUAUGUGCCACAUUUACUUUAUCCAGUCUAACAUUGAUGGGCAUUUGUUUCGUUUCCAAGUCUUUGCUAUUGAAAACAGUGCUGCAACAAACAUACAUGUGCAUGUGUCUUUAUAGUAGAAUGCUUUACAAUCCUUUGGGUAUAUACCCAGUAAUGGGAUUACUGGGUUAAAUGGUAUUUCUGGUUCCAGAUCCUUGAGGAAUUGCCACACUGUCUUCCACAAUGGUUGAACUAAUUUACACUCCCACCAACAAUGUAAAAGCGUUCCUGUUUCUCCACAUCCUCUCCAGCAUCUAUUGUUUGCUGACUUUGUAAUGAUCGCCAUUCUAACUGGCAUGAGAUGGUAUCUCAUUCUGGUUUUGAUUUGCAUUUCUCAAAUGACCAGUGAUCAUGAGCUUUUUUUUCAUGUUUGUUGGCCGCAUAAAUGUCUUCCUUUGAGAUGUGUCUGUUCAUAUACUUUGUCCACUUUUUGAUGGGUUUUUUUUUCUUGUAAAUUUGUUUAAGUUCCUUGUAGAUUCUGGAUACUAGCCAUUUUUCACAUUGCAAAAAUUUUCUCCCAUUCUAUAGGUUGCCUGUUCACUCUGAUGAUAGUUUCUGUUGCUGUGCAGAAGCUCUUUAAUUUAAUAAGAUCCCAUUUGUCAAUUUUGGUUUCUGUUGCCAUUGCUUUUGGUGUUUUACUCAUGAAGUCUUUGCC